Molecule: long non-coding RNA, 811 nt
Organism: Oreochromis aureus
Lineage: Eukaryota; Metazoa; Chordata; Actinopteri; Cichliformes; Cichlidae
Exons: 3
Source: RefSeq, a predicted model, not a curated record
AUGGCCUUGAGGAAAAAAGGUCAAAACUGAAACAAGCAGCAUCAACUCUGCUCAAUCAGAAAGAAGACUCCUGAGAAUGGGGAUUGUAACUUUAGGAGUAUUGUGUAUCUUACAAGCCAUCCUCAAUAUCUCCCUGCACCUUGCCGUUUAUUCAAAAGAGGACAUCAAUCAGUUUCCCUGCAACACCUCUGUGAUAGAAGACAUGUGCCAGACUGAGCAAUUUCAGUCGAAUUCAACCCACUUAUGUUCCUGCUGCAACCUGCUGCAAAGGCUACUGAGAGAAAGAGACCUCUUGCAAGACAAAAUCAAUCGGUUUAGCAGAGGUUUUGAAGAUAUGGAGAUAUCUGGAUCUGGUUCCUUUUUCUAGGAGGAAAAUACAUGAAAGUUUUGCUAAUUUUGACAUGCUACCUGACAUGAUAAAAUGUAUUGAAUGACUGUGUAUGUGAAAGAUGACACUUUUAGUGACAACAGGUGCUAUCUAUCUAUCUAUAUACAAAUAAAUAUGCUUUAUAUACAUACAAUAAAUAUAUCUAUUUAUUUAUACUAUGUAUUUAAAGCAAUUCAUAAAAAGUCAUACAAAAAUUUGUUUUUGUUUCAUUUAUGUGAAAUAUUGGGCCAUGUCUUUGCCACAACCCGAAGUGACAGAAAAAAGCUAGCUAAGAUACUUCCUGGUGUUUUCGGUUGACUCACAUCCUCUUAUUUCAGUGGCUUUAAUGCAACAUGUUGUAUGUGUAGGUUUUAGAAAUGUUCUACUGUCAAUGGUACAAUGUACAUUAAAAAAAAAACAUUUGAGAUGUUUUAAAAUAUCGUA